This 959-nucleotide long non-coding RNA is filed under the name Zosterops lateralis melanops. RNAcentral describes it as "lncRNA (ENSZLMG00000005052.1)". Lineage: Eukaryota; Metazoa; Chordata; Aves; Passeriformes; Zosteropidae. The record is from RNAcentral.
UAUGAGGGGUGUUUUCAAGUUCUCUAGAUACACAGUUUUCAUCAGUGUCUUUGGCUGUCCUCAUUGGAGCCCUUUGGACUCUGCACCACUCCUAUUCACAUGAUGAUCUCACAUUCCUCCUGGAGACAAAAAUGUGUGCUCAUGCAGCCAGAGAGUGGAAACUUACUGAUUGUACAGAGCUUGGCAGGAGCUCCUGUUCCAGCCUUCUGACAAGAGCAGGGACAGGCCGCGUUUCUGUACACAUUGUUUCCUGAUGGAGCAUCAGGUCUGGAUGCCAAAUGAGGCUGUACCUACUGGCUUUGAUGCAAAGCAGUGUUAGUGCCUACAGCCUAAGGGGACUGACAUUCCUGUUCCAUAUGACUUCUUUGCCUCUCUGGUGACAAAGAAUAGUAUGAAAAAUAUCUCUAUGUCAACACCAGCUUCUCUGUGUGUGUGUCCAUAAAGUAUUCCAAGGCUUUUCCCAAGUUCACCUUUUGGACAGCGGUGUGGGACAUACAAGUGCCCUUGAUUUAAAUUGAAGAACAUUGAUUUAAAUGGAAGAACAGGGACUCAGGAGGAAACAGCCACCACUUUUCAUGUCUUGCUGUUUUGAUGUGCAUCAGAGAAUGGAGCAAUAAGGAAGCUGGAAGUGAUGUUGUCCUUGCUGAAGACUAUUUUUCCAGUUUUAGAUGUGGACAUCUUGGAGUGAAGAAACAGAAAAAGCAAUCCUCCAUGGUGUGCAAAAUCACUGUCUCCCAUGCAGUGUGCUUCCUCCAGGGGUUUUACAAGGGAGUGUUUAUGUUUACACACUUGCCAUAACCUCCUUAGGCAAAUGAAACCUGAAGUGUCCUGUGAGGUUUCUUACUUGUGUCCUUUUUUUUAUUUUCACAAUCUCAUAGGAGACUUUGAAACUAGACUUUAAUUGAAUUUUUUGGACGCUUUUUCUGAUGAAGUUGCAAAUAUUAAAAAGAAAAAAAAUC